CGGCGGACGGGUGAGUAACACGUGGGUAACCUACCUAUAAGACUGGGACAACUUCGGGAAACCGGAGCUAAUACCGGAUAAGAUAUCGAACCGCAUGGUUCGAUAGUGAAAGAUGGUUUUGCUAUCACUUAUAGAUGGACCCGCGCCGUAUUAGCUAGUUGGUGAGGUAACGGCUCACCAAGGCAACGAUACGUAGCCGACCUGAGAGGGUGAUGGCCACACUGGAACUGAGACACGGUCCAGACUCCUACGGGAGGCAGCAGC
RNAcentral lists this ribosomal RNA (264 nucleotides) under uncultured Staphylococcus sp. Its description in RNAcentral is "partial 16S ribosomal RNA". It matches the Rfam family "Bacterial small subunit ribosomal RNA", at positions 96 to 355 of the family's 1533-position model. The record is from RNAcentral. Lineage: Bacteria; Bacillati; Bacillota; Bacilli; Caryophanales; Staphylococcaceae.